RNAcentral lists this ribosomal RNA (478 nucleotides) under uncultured organism. RNAcentral describes it as "partial 16S ribosomal RNA". It matches the Rfam family "Bacterial small subunit ribosomal RNA", at positions 331 to 800 of the family's 1533-position model. The record is from RNAcentral.
GUACACUCCUGCGGGAGGCAGCAGUGGGGAAUUUUGGACAAUGGGCGAAAGCCUGAUCCAGCAAUGCCGCGUGAGUGAAGAAGGCCUUCGGGUUGUAAAGCUCUUUUGUCAGGGAAGAAACGGUGAAAGCUAAUAUCUUUUGCUAAUGACGGUACCUGAAGAAUAAGCACCGGCUAACUACGUGCCAGCAGCCGCGGUAAUACGUAGGGUGCAAGCGUUAAUCGGAAUUACUGGGCGUAAAGCGUGCGCAGGCGGUUUUGUAAGUCUGAUGUGAAAUCCCCGGGCUCAACCUGGGAAUUGCAUUGGAGACUGCAAGGCUAGAAUCUGGCAGAGGGGGGUAGAAUUCCACGUGUAGCAGUGAAAUGCGUAGAUAUGUGGAGGAACACCGAUGGCGAAGGCAGCCCCCUGGGUCAAGAUUGACGCUCAUGCACGAAAGCGUGGGGAGCAAACAGGAUUAGAUACCCCAGUAGUCCCAUGA